This 527-nucleotide ribosomal RNA is filed under the name Ralstonia sp. enrichment culture. RNAcentral describes it as "bacterial SSU rRNA". It matches the Rfam family "Bacterial small subunit ribosomal RNA", at positions 355 to 875 of the family's 1533-position model. The record is from RNAcentral. Lineage: Bacteria; Pseudomonadati; Pseudomonadota; Betaproteobacteria; Burkholderiales; Burkholderiaceae.
UGGGGAAUUUUGGACAAUGGGCGAAAGCCUGAUCCAGCAAUGCCGCGUGUGUGAAGAAGGCCUUCGGGUUGUAAAGCACUUUUGUCCGGAAAGAAAUCCUUUGGGUUAAUACCUCGGAGGGAUGACGGUACCGGAAGAAUAAGGACCGGCUAACUACGUGCCAGCAGCCGCGGUAAUACGUAGGGUCCGAGCGUUAAUCGGAAUUACUGGGCGUAAAGCGUGCGCAGGCGGUUUUGUAAGACAGAUGUGAAAUCCCCGGGCUUAACCUGGGAAUUGCAUUUGUGACUGCAAGGCUAGAGUGUGUCAGAGGGGGGUAGAAUUCCACGUGUAGCAGUGAAAUGCGUAGAGAUGUGGAGGAAUACCGAUGGCGAAGGCAGCCCCCUGGGAUAACACUGACGCUCAUGCACGAAAGCGUGGGGAGCAAACAGGAUUAGAUACCCUGGUAGUCCACGCCCUAAACGAUGUCAACUAGUUGUUGGGGAUUCAUUUCCUUAGUAACGAAGCUAACGCAUGAAGUUGACCGCCUG